GCCAGGCGUGGUGGCGAGCGCCUGUAAUCCCAGCUACUCAGGAGGCUGAGGCGGGAGAAUUGCUUGAACCUGGGAGGUGGAGGUUGCAGUGAGCCGCGAUUGCGCCACUGCACUCCUGCCUGGGCAACAGAGCAAGACUCCGUCUCAA
RNAcentral lists this small RNA (148 nucleotides) under Pongo abelii (Sumatran orangutan). RNAcentral describes it as "Metazoan signal recognition particle RNA (ENSPPYG00000036805.1)". The record is from Rfam by way of RNAcentral. Lineage: Eukaryota; Metazoa; Chordata; Mammalia; Primates; Hominidae.